Molecule: transfer RNA, 87 nt
Filed under: Escherichia coli
Lineage: Bacteria; Pseudomonadati; Pseudomonadota; Gammaproteobacteria; Enterobacterales; Enterobacteriaceae
Also listed under: 2 other names
Description: tRNA-Leu
Rfam family: tRNA
About the family: Transfer RNA (tRNA) molecules are approximately 80 nucleotides in length. Their secondary structure includes four short double-helical elements and three loops (D, anti-codon, and T loops). Further hydrogen bonds mediate the characteristic L-shaped molecular structure. tRNAs have two regions of fundamental functional importance: the anti-codon, which is responsible for specific mRNA codon recognition, and the 3' end, to which the tRNAs corresponding amino acid is attached (by aminoacyl-tRNA synthetases). tRNAs cope with the degeneracy of the genetic code in two manners: having more than one tRNA (with a specific anti-codon) for a particular amino acid; and 'wobble' base-pairing, i.e. permitting non-standard base-pairing at the 3rd anti-codon position.
Source: RNAcentral
GCCCGGAUGGUGGAAUCGGUAGACACAAGGGAUUUAAAAUCCCUCGGCGUUCUCGCUGUGCGGGUUCAAGUCCCGCUCCGGGUACCA